UCUCUGGCGUAGUUGGUAGCGCCUUGAAUUCGAAAUUAUAAGUCCUAGGUUCAAGUCCCGGUCAGGAGAA
This is a non-coding RNA of Halocaridina rubra (Hawaiian volcano shrimp), 70 nucleotides long. The record is from the annotation of a GenBank genome assembly. NCBI's taxonomy places the organism in Eukaryota, Metazoa, Arthropoda, Malacostraca, Decapoda, Atyidae.